UUAGGCUUCAUUUAUUUUUGUUAAAAAAAAAAGAAGAGAUAAGCUAGCAGAAUAUAACAAUUUAUUAAAAUAUGAGAGCAAGAAGUAAGAGAGACGAAUUUAGAAACUCAAGUUUUGAUUUGUGGUUGAUGCUAAAAGCUUUCAAGUACAUGGGUGUUUAUAGGUACUACUACUACUACUACUACUACUACUACUAAUGCUACUCCUACUAUUAAUGCUACUACUACUGUUAAUCCUUAUGCUACUUAUAUUGCUACUAUUACUUCUAUUGAUGCUACUACUACUACUGGUUUUACUACUGUUACUACUUCUAUUACCACUACUACUACUACUACUACUACUAAUAC
This 347-nucleotide long non-coding RNA is filed under the name Carica papaya (papaya). RNAcentral describes it as "long non-coding RNA (CPAP_LNC001534)". Lineage: Eukaryota; Viridiplantae; Streptophyta; Magnoliopsida; Brassicales; Caricaceae. The record is from RNAcentral.